GCAGACACAUUCCAGCCAAUCAGCAGCAGACCCUCCCUCCCAGACCCUCCCACCUCCUGGCCAGCUCACUAAGAAUGCAGCUUCACAAUGAAUGUAAAAUGGAUGCUGUCCAGGAGGUGGGAGGGUCUGGGAGGGAGGGUCUGCUGCUGAUUGGCUGGAAUGUGUCUG
Molecule: microRNA precursor, 168 nt
Filed under: Pelobates cultripes (western spadefoot toad)
Lineage: Eukaryota; Metazoa; Chordata; Amphibia; Anura; Pelobatidae
Source: RNAcentral